UACGAAGGGGGCUAGCGUUGUUCGGAAUUACUGGGCGUAAAGCGAACGUAGGCGGUGUUCCAUGUCAGAGGUGAAAGCCUGGGGCUCAACUCCAGAAUUGCCUUUGAAACGGGGACGCUUGAGUCCGAGAGAGGAUGGCGGAAUUCCUAGUGUAGAGGUGAAAUUCGUAGAUAUUAGGAAGAACACCGAUGGCGAAGGCGGCCAUCUGUCUCGGUACUGACGCUCAGGUUCGAAAGCGUGGGGAGCAAACAGG
Molecule: ribosomal RNA, 253 nt
Filed under: uncultured bacterium
Lineage: Bacteria
Description: partial 16S ribosomal RNA
Rfam family: Bacterial small subunit ribosomal RNA
Source: RNAcentral